RNAcentral lists this ribosomal RNA (256 nucleotides) under uncultured bacterium. RNAcentral's name for it is "partial 16S ribosomal RNA". It matches the Rfam family "Bacterial small subunit ribosomal RNA", at positions 524 to 776 of the family's 1533-position model. The record is from RNAcentral.
UACGUAGGGGGGCAAGCGUUGUCCGGAUUUAUUGGGCGUAAAGAGCGUGUAGGCGGCCAUACAGGUCAGCUGUGAAAACUCGAGGCUCAACCUCGAGACGUCGGUUGAAACCGUGUGGCUAGAGUCCGGAAGAGGAGAGUGGAAUUCCCCGGUGUAGCGGUGAAAUGCCUUGAGAUCGGAAGGAACGCCGACGGCGAAAGCAAGGUCCUGGACUCGUCCUGACGCUGAGGCGCGAAAGCCAGGGGGAGCGAACGGG